UCCAGACUCCUACGGGAGGCAGCAGUGGGGGAUAUUGCACAAUGGGGGGAACCCUGAUGCAGCGACGCCGCGUGGGUGAAGGAGUAUUUCGGUAUGUAAAGCCCUAUCGGCAGGGAAGAAGCAAGACGGUACCUGACUAAGAAGCCCCGACUAACUACGUGCCAGCAGCCGCGGUAAUACGUAGGGGGCGAGCGUUAUCCGGAUUCACUGGGUGUAAAGGGAGCGUAGACGGCCAAGCAAGCCAGGGGUGAAAGCCCGGGGCCCAACCCCGGGACUGCCCUUGGAACUGCAUGGCUGGAGUGCGGGAGGGGCAGGCGGAAUUCCUGGUGUAGCGGUGAAAUGCGUAGAUAUCAGGAGGAACACCGGCGGCGAAGGCGGCCUGCUGGACCGUGACUGACGUUGAGGCUCGAGAGCGUGGGGAGCAAACAGGAUUAGAUACCCUGGUA
RNAcentral lists this ribosomal RNA (446 nucleotides) under uncultured bacterium. Its description in RNAcentral is "bacterial SSU rRNA". It matches the Rfam family "Bacterial small subunit ribosomal RNA", at positions 330 to 792 of the family's 1533-position model. The record is from RNAcentral.